AAUGAACGCUGGCGGCGCGCCUAAUACAUGCAAGUCGAGCGAGAAGACGUAGCAAUACGUUUGUAAAGCGGCGAACGGGUGAGGAAUACAUGGGUAACCUACCCUAGAGUGGGGAAUAACUAGCCGAAAGGUUAGCUAAUACCGCGUACGCUCCUUGGACUUCGGUUCAGGGAGGAAAGCGAUACCGAGGGUAUCGCGCUCUUGGAUGGGCUCAUGUCCUAUCAGCUUGUUGGUGAGGUAACGGCUCACCAAGGCUUCGACGGGUAGCUGGUCUGAGAGGACGAUCAGCCACACUGGCACUGCGACACGGGCCAGACUCCUACGGGAGGCAGCAGUAAGGAAUAUUGCGCAAUGGGCGAAAGCCUGACGCAGCGACGCC
RNAcentral lists this ribosomal RNA (379 nucleotides) under uncultured bacterium. RNAcentral describes it as "bacterial SSU rRNA". It matches the Rfam family "Bacterial small subunit ribosomal RNA", at positions 29 to 398 of the family's 1533-position model. The record is from RNAcentral.